Molecule: ribosomal RNA, 373 nt
Filed under: uncultured bacterium
Lineage: Bacteria
Description: bacterial SSU rRNA
Rfam family: Bacterial small subunit ribosomal RNA
Source: RNAcentral
AUACGGAGGUGGCAAGCGUUGUUCGGAUUUACUGGGUGUAAAGGUCACGUAGGUGUCUUGUUAAGUCGGAUGUGAAAUCCCCUGGCUCAACCAGGGAGCUGCACUCGAUACUGGCAAGAUUGAGUACGGGAGAGGUAAGCGGAAUUCCGGAAGUAAGGGUGAAAUCUGUAGAUAUCCGGAAGAACACCAUUAGCGAAGGCGGCUUACUGGCCCGAUACUGACACUGAGGUGAGAAAGCUAGGGGAGCGAACAGGAUUAGAUACCCUGGUAGUCCUAGCUGUAAACGAUGGGCACUAGAUGCAGGCUGUCAAAGGUCUGUGUCGGAGCAAACGCGUUAAGUGCCCCACCUGGGGACUACGGUCGCAAGGCUAAA